AUGUUUUUUUCGAGUAAUAAUAACCCUGGUCGUGGCACUUGGGGGGCGCCCGUGGUCAAAGCUUUGCUCACUCGGUCCGCCAGGACCAGUAUGCAUGUACUCCUACGUGCGCGAUCCCCGGCGGGUUGGUUGGUUGCACCCGCCGUGCCGCUCACUCCCUCCCCACUCCCGGUCACUCGUGACCACGGACGGCAUCCAUCUGACCAUCUCCAUCAGUCAACACCCUCCCUUACUCCCAGCCAUGAUUACCAGUGGUAUAUGCUAAACAGUGGAUGGAAUCACGGAAUCACAGAAGAAUCCACGCGCUUGAUUAAAGAAAAACUUCCCACGAGGGCGGGCCGUUCAUCGCAAAAAAAAAGAGCGCUGAUAUCUUGGCCCUUCUGUUGUUGUUUGCAUGGUCCAUACGAUACGAACCUGUGGGCUGUGGCGCGUUGGUAUCGACGCCCGUGCCGAGCCUAUCGCCACCCCUCCGGCCGCCGGCGCUGGGACGAAACGAACGGGACUUGCUUGCACACAAGAGAGACCUAG
RNAcentral lists this ribosomal RNA (528 nucleotides) under Triticum aestivum (bread wheat). RNAcentral's name for it is "partial small subunit ribosomal RNA". Lineage: Eukaryota; Viridiplantae; Streptophyta; Magnoliopsida; Poales; Poaceae. The record is from RNAcentral.